UACGUAGGGUGCAAGCGUUGUUCGGAAUUACUGGGCGUAAAGAGUGUGUAGGCGGUGCUCCAAGUCUGGUGUGAAAUCUCCCGGCUUAACUGGGAGGGUGCAUUAGAAACUGGAAUGCUAGAGGAUGGGAGAGGUAAGCGGAAUUCCUGGUGUAGCGGUGAAAUGCGUAGAUAUCAGGAGGAACACCUGUGGUGUAGACAGCUUACUGGACCAUUUCUGACGCUGAGACACGAAAGCGUGGGUAGCAAACAGG
This 253-nucleotide ribosomal RNA is filed under the name uncultured bacterium. RNAcentral's name for it is "partial 16S ribosomal RNA". It matches the Rfam family "Bacterial small subunit ribosomal RNA", at positions 524 to 776 of the family's 1533-position model. The record is from RNAcentral.